CAAGAACUUUCCAUAAGGUAGGCGUUUUCGCUUUUUUCUUCCGCAAUGGCUGGCAUGGCAAAAAAUACUUUUGUGGUUUAGGAUAGUUCCAGCGACAAAGAGCAAUCUCCAAGCAUCCUCUCACCUGGAGAAGGCUGUAGUUUCUGGCCGGUUGGAUGUUCAAAAACAGAAUACUCAACGCCCCCAAAGAGCGGUUAUUCUUCCGAAGUUUCCAGUCAGCAUCUACAAUUGGCGCAAAGGCUCUCGGACAGUCUGCUAUUGAACAUCUCAUUCACGCAGCCCGAACCCGCCUCUCCAGGCUUACUGACUCAGAUACUUGGGGGCCCACCGCCGUUUGCAUCAUCACCCGGACUUCUCACCCAAAUAAUCGGUGAACCUGAAAGAAUUGACCCUACUAUUAAGGCUGCUGGGCUGAAGACUGAAAUCGAACGAGUGCUGUUGAUUUUUCAAAGUGCAUUACCGGACCUUUUACCACGGUCUCCAGAUAUACGUGAAAAGGUGAAAAAGAACCACCAAAGAGAGGAGAUGGAUACAAAUAUACAUCUGAAGUGUCACCAAAUAUCUAGGCACCUUCAUUACUCCACAUAAUUUUUGAAGGAGAACAAAAUAAGCUGCGUGAUCAAAUACAAAUACAGUAUUUUAUUCUUUAUCUGGACAUUUGCUUCUUGCUUGCAAUAACUAUUAUUAGACAUUUCACUGUAGUCAGUAUAUCAUUUCAUUUAUUGUGUCUUACUAGAAUUACUUUUUUGAAUUAUGCUGCCUACUCAUAGAUAUCUGCAGAUAAUUUUACCAAACUAUAAAUCCAAAGUAUCAUAUAAAUGUUAUGCAAUUGAACAUUACUUUUUAUUACCAUCAUAUAUUGUUAUAUACUGCUUUUUGAGAACUCAAGGGCAUUUUAUACUCUGAGGAACAAAGGAACAAUAGAAAAAGUACUUAAAUGUUAAUAAAUAAUAUCAGUUAAAUAUGGCUGAUGUGGUGUAGCAAGCUUGUACAUUAACACAGCCAGCUUCUUUUAAUAUCACUGCUUUACACCUAUUGAACUUAGUUGAUCUAAUUUAAUUUAUUUAAAAGCUGGAGCUAGUUUCUUGUUAAAUUAAAUUAAUAGAUGGGACAUACAGUAACUGUUGUGGCCUAGGAGGCAUG
Molecule: long non-coding RNA, 1143 nt
Organism: Polypterus senegalus (gray bichir)
Lineage: Eukaryota; Metazoa; Chordata; Cladistia; Polypteriformes; Polypteridae
Exons: 6
Source: RefSeq, a predicted model, not a curated record